RNAcentral lists this ribosomal RNA (429 nucleotides) under Verrucomicrobiota bacterium. RNAcentral describes it as "Verrucomicrobia bacterium partial 16S ribosomal RNA". It matches the Rfam family "Bacterial small subunit ribosomal RNA", at positions 355 to 776 of the family's 1533-position model. The record is from RNAcentral. Lineage: Bacteria; Pseudomonadati; Verrucomicrobiota.
UAGGGAAUCUUCCGCAAUGGACGAAAGUCUGACGGAGCAACGCCGCGUGAGUGAAGAAGGAUUUCGGUUCGUAAAACUCUGUUGUUAGGGAAGAAAAAAUGUAUAGUAACUAUAUACAAAAGAGACGGUACCUAACCAGAAAGCCACGGCUAACUACGUGCCAGCAGCCGCGGUAAUACGUAGGUGGCAAGCGUUGUCCGGAAUUAUUGGGCGUAAAGCGCGCGCAGGUGGUUUAGAAAGUCUGAUGUGAAAGCCCACGGCUCAACCGUGGAGGGUCAUUGGAAACUAAUAAACUUGAGUGCAGGAGAGAAAAGUGGAAUUCCUAGUGUAGCGGUGAAAUGCGUAGAGAUUAGGAGGAACACCGGUGGCGAAAGCGGCUCUCUGGUCUGUUACUGACGCUGAGAAGCGAAAGCGUGGGGAGCGAACAGG